ACGAACGCUGGCGGCAUGGAUUAGGCAUGCAAGUCGAACGCUUGUAGCAAUACAAGAGUGGCGCAAGGGUGAGGAACACGUGAGUAAACUGCCCUUUAGAUGGGAAUAACUCUACGAAAGUGGAGCUAAUACCGAAUGUGGCCUGCACCUCGCAUGAGGUGCAGGCUAAAGAUUUAUUGCUAAAGGAUGUGCUCGCGUCCCAUUAGCUAGUUGGUGAGGUAACGGCCCACCAAGGCAAUGACGGGUAGGUGGUCUGAGAGGAUGGUAACCCACACUGGGACUGAGAACGGCCCAGACUCCUACGGGAGGCUGCAGUCGAGAAUCUUCCGCAAUGGGCGAAAGCCUGACGGAGCAAUGCCGCGUGCAGGAUGAAGGCCUUCGGGUCGUAAACUGCUGUCACCGGGGAUGAAAAAUGACAGUACCCGGGGAGGAAGUCACGGCUAACUACGU
Molecule: ribosomal RNA, 450 nt
Filed under: uncultured bacterium
Lineage: Bacteria
Description: bacterial SSU rRNA
Rfam family: Bacterial small subunit ribosomal RNA
Source: RNAcentral